This 465-nucleotide ribosomal RNA is filed under the name uncultured bacterium. Its description in RNAcentral is "partial 16S ribosomal RNA". It matches the Rfam family "Bacterial small subunit ribosomal RNA", at positions 338 to 795 of the family's 1533-position model. The record is from RNAcentral.
CCUACGGGGGGCUGCAGUAGGGAAUUUUCGUCAAUGGGCGCAAGCCUGAACGAGCGAUGCCGCGUGAGUGAAGAAGGCCUUCGGGUCGUAAAGCUCUGUUGCGGGGGAAAAAAGGCAGCAUCAGGAAAUGGGUGCUGACUGAUGGUGCCCCGCCAGAAAGUCACGGCUAACUACGUGCCAGCAGCCGCGGUAAUACGUAGGUGGCGAGCGUUAUCCGGAAGGAUGGGGCGGAAAGGGUGCGCAGGCGGUCCUGCAAGUCUGGAGUGAAACGGAUGGGCUCAACUCAUGCAGGGCUUUGGAAACUGGAGGGCUGGAGGGCAGGAGAGGGAGGUGGAACUCCAUGUGUAGCGGUAAAAUGCGUAGAUAUAUGGAAGAACACCAGUGGCGAAGGCGGCCGCCUGGCCUGUUGCUGACGCUGAGGCACGAAAGCGUGGGGAGCAAAUAGGAUUAGAUACCCUGGUAGUC